GACGAACGCUGGCGGCGUGCUUAACACAUGCAAGUCGAACGGAAAGGCCCUGCUUGCAGGGUACUCGAGUGGCGAACGGGUGAGUAACACGUGGGUGAUCUGCCCUGCACUUCGGGAUAAGCCUGGGAAACUGGGUCUAAUACCGGAUAGGAGCCAUUUUUAGUGUGAUGGUUGGAAAGUUUUUUCGGUGUAGGAUGAGCUCGCGGCCUAUCAGCUUGUUGGUGGGGUAAUGGCCUACCAAGGCGGCGACGGGUAGCCGGCCUGAGAGGGUGGACGGCCACAUUGGGACUGAGAUACGGCCCAGACUCCUACGGGAGGCAGCAGUGGGGAAUAUUGCACAAUGGGCGCAAGCCUGAUGCAGCGACGCCGCGGGGAGGAUGACGGCCUUCGGGUUGUAAACUCCUUUCGCUAGGGACGAAGCUUUUUGUGACGGUACCUAGAUAAGAAGCACCGGCUAACUACGUG
RNAcentral lists this ribosomal RNA (465 nucleotides) under uncultured bacterium. Its description in RNAcentral is "partial 16S ribosomal RNA". It matches the Rfam family "Bacterial small subunit ribosomal RNA", at positions 28 to 507 of the family's 1533-position model. The record is from RNAcentral.